AGAUAAAAAGAGACCGAAUACGAUUCCUGUAUUCGGUCCAGGGAAAUGGCUCUUGGGAGAGAGCCGUGCGCUAAAAGUUGGCAUUAAUGCAGGCUAAAGUCGCCUUGCCCUUUAAGAAUAGAUGAGCAUGCCAGGUUUUCCAGUCC
RNAcentral lists this small RNA (146 nucleotides) under Enterobacter sp. CC120223-11. The record is from RNAcentral. Lineage: Bacteria; Pseudomonadati; Pseudomonadota; Gammaproteobacteria; Enterobacterales; Enterobacteriaceae.